AGAAAAUUGCAAAAUUAAUCUACCAUUCCCAACAAUGAUGCGGUAACAACAAACACAAACUAGCACACCGUGAUUAUAAAAACAGCAAAAUCCCCUAACCGAUGGACUUUCCAUGUCAAACGAGUCGAGUGCGACGAGGAUCAGGCAAUCACAGUCGAUGCAAAGACCACUGGCGCCAUCUGUUGGCCGGUGCUGCAAGCGCACACUACGCGCACGCACACGCAGCGCACCACUUGACACACCGAGCUCGAAUCGUACACACGUACCAAGCGUAACAUCUAAUCGAACCCUCCACAUCAGUGUGUACGGCGCUUCUGGGGGGAGUUUUGAAGUAGCAGGUGGUGAUAGGAUCAAUGUGAUAGACAGCGGCAGGCUCGAGAGCUGGACCUUGAGCGUUCUUACACCAACACCCCAUCCCCCCAAAUCGCACCCCUUCUGCCAGCGGUUCUCGCACAUAGGCGUGAAAUCUUCGCGGGGCUCUAGUAAAAGUGACCCAAAUAAAAUCUAUCAAACGUGCUGCGCGCAACCAAGCGUCGUGUGUGUACCGACCACCACACGAAUACCAACACGUCUCGCGUUGCACGAUCGGUGCCGCCGGUGUGUUCUAUCGCAAAUAAAUAUACUUGCAGCACUACUUGAAACUGCUCGAACCAACCAACAUUCCUACUGUUGACUGGCCGCCUACCGGGGGGGGACGGACACAGGGCGAUGAAGCGCCAGUCGCGAAGACAACCGUGCGAGCAUCCCAGCACAAAAACAAUCGCUUUUGCUUCUCUCAAUCAUCGGUCAAUCACGUAUAUCAACCAGGUAAACGGUUUCUGAUGAAUGGCAAAUAAAACGAAAAGCGAAAGA
Anopheles stephensi (Asian malaria mosquito) is the source of this 852-nucleotide long non-coding RNA. RefSeq lists it as uncharacterized. Lineage: Eukaryota; Metazoa; Arthropoda; Insecta; Diptera; Culicidae. The transcript is spliced from 3 exons. The record is from RefSeq and is a predicted model, not a curated record.